Molecule: non-coding RNA, 161 nt
Organism: Eucalyptus grandis
Lineage: Eukaryota; Viridiplantae; Streptophyta; Magnoliopsida; Myrtales; Myrtaceae
Source: Rfam
UUGCACUUAUCCAUUGGCCUCUCCUAAUUGGGUGGCGGGGCCUUUGAGCUAGGGUGCAUAGAUCAAUAGCUGUUAAAUCAGCAGAAGCCAGACAACCGUUGAGAUGGACCACAGGUGAAUGGCCUAAAGUGCUGCUUGCCUACUGAAUCCAUCUUACAUGU